UACGGAGGGUGCAAGCGUUGCUCGGAAUUAUUGGGCGUAAAGGGUAGGUAGGUGGUCUCAUUUGUCUGGGGUGAAAUCCUUGGGCUUAACCCAAGAAGUGCCCCAGAAACGGUGAGACUAGAGUCCUGGAGAGGGUCGUGGAAUUCCCGGUGUAGCGGUGAAAUGCGUAGAGAUCGGGAGGAACACCAGAGGCGAAAGCGGCGACCUGGACAGGCACUGACACUCAACUACGAAAGCGUGGGGAGCAAACAGG
RNAcentral lists this ribosomal RNA (253 nucleotides) under uncultured bacterium. RNAcentral's name for it is "partial 16S ribosomal RNA". It matches the Rfam family "Bacterial small subunit ribosomal RNA", at positions 524 to 776 of the family's 1533-position model. The record is from RNAcentral.